RNAcentral lists this ribosomal RNA (425 nucleotides) under uncultured bacterium. RNAcentral describes it as "partial 16S ribosomal RNA". It matches the Rfam family "Bacterial small subunit ribosomal RNA", at positions 354 to 796 of the family's 1533-position model. The record is from RNAcentral.
GUGGGGAAUAUUGGACAAUGGGCGCAAGCCUGAUCCAGCCAUGCCGCGUGAAUGAUGAAGGCCUUAGGGUUGUAAAGCUCUUUCACCGAUGAAGAUAAUGACGGUAGUCGGAGAAGAAGCCCCGGCUAACUUCGUGCCAGCAGCCGCGGUAAUACGAAGGGGGCUAGCGUUGUUCGGAUUUACUGGGCGUAAAGCGCACGUAGGCGGUUUGUUAAGUCAGGGGUGAAAUCCCGGAGCUCAACUCCGGAACUGCCUUUGAUACUGGCAAGCUAGAGUACGGAAGAGGUAAGUGGAACUCCUAGUGUAGAGGUGGAAUUCGUAGAUAUUAGGAAGAACACCAGUGGCGAAGGCGGCUUACUGGUCCGGAACUGACGCUGAGGUGCGAAAGCGUGGGGAGCAAACAGGAUUAGAUACCCGAGUAGUCC